This is an RNA transcript of Theobroma umbraticum, 1505 nucleotides long. It is a transcript of the gene named PGR5-like protein 1A, chloroplastic, with no coding region annotated. Lineage: Eukaryota; Viridiplantae; Streptophyta; Magnoliopsida; Malvales; Malvaceae. The record is from RefSeq and is a predicted model, not a curated record.
AAAACAAAAAAGGGGUGAAACAAAUUAAAUUGCAAAGCUCCAUCAUCAGCGGCUUGACUCUCACCACCUGAAACCAGCGAAAUAAAUAAAUAAACUUAGCUUUAACAGGUUGAGCUCUUGGUUAAUUUUUCCUUUAAUUAAUUUCAAUGGCUAGCAAAUUAGCCUUCAGUUUGACACCCCCUCGUUUGUUCACUGCCCCUAUUCAAAAGCCCUUAGUUCCUUUCUCUUCAUCUUCUUCUACCAGGAUUCAAUCCAAUGGAAAGCAGCUAUGUGUUCGACGCAGAUUGUUCUUACUUCCCACCAAGGCUACUGCUGAUCAACAAGGCCAGGUCGAAGAAGAUGAGGUUGUGGAUAGUAAAAUUCUGCCUUACUGUAGCAUAGACAAGAAAGAGAAGAAGUCCUUGGGUGAAAUGGAGCAAGAGUUUCUUCAAGCCCUACAAGCAUUUUACUAUGAGGGAAAAGCUAUCAUGUCAAAUGAGGAAUUUGAUAAUCUCAAGGAAGAACUAAUGUGGGAAGGAAGCAGUGUUGUCAUGCUAAGUUCUGAUGAGCAGAAAUUUCUGGAAGCCUCAAUGGCUUAUGUAUCGGGAAAACCCAUUAUGAGUGAUGAAGAAUUUGAUAAACUGAAGCAAAGGCUAAAGAUGGAAGGAAGCGAAAUUGUAGUCGAGGGUCCACGAUGUAGUCUCCGUACUAGAAAGGUGUAUAGUGACCUAUCUGUUGACUAUUUGAAGAUGUUCCUCUUGAAUGUCCCGGCCACUGUGAUUGCCCUAGGAUUGUUUUUCUUCCUAGAUGAUCUGACGGGAUUUGAAAUCACAUAUCUUUUGGAGCUCCCAGAGCCAUUCAGCUUUAUUUUUACGUGGUUUGCUGCUGUGCCCGCAUUGGUUUGGUUAGCUCAAGCCCUUACAAAAGUGGUUGUGAAAGACUCUCUGAUCUUAAAGGGCCCUUGCCCGAACUGUGGUACUGAGAAUGUCUCCUUCUUUGGCACCAUACUGUCGGUUUCCAGUGGUGGAACCACCAACAGUAUUAAAUGUUCAAAUUGUGGAACUCCAAUGGUGUAUGAUUCGAACACGCGAUUGAUUACAUUGCCAGAAGGAAGUGAAGCUUGAUUGGAGGUAUAUACCAUGCUUAUGUAUGCUUCCCCUGGAAUCGCUUCUUGGAUAACUUUCAAGCAUCAGAUGUGUUAUUCCCACGUUAACAGACACAGCCAUGGCUGCAGGAUAAAUUAUUACCAAGGAUCCACAGUAGGACUGCUACAAACUCGAGAACUUGGGAGUGAAGAGUGUGUCGUAUGUUCUUAAACAUGGUGGGUCAUCAUUCGCAGCGCAGGUGGAAAUUUUGACAUGUGCUGCAAUGUAGAAUGUAUAUCGGUUGUAUGUUAUGUCAAAUCCUUUAUUUGUAAGUAACAUGUAAUAUAUUUAAAACUGUAACAGGCAUGUUGACAGGAAGAGAGGAGAGCAAAAAUGUUGUCGUGAAAAUCUUUUGAUCAAUAAAAAUCAUGUUCUAUGUAA